GGAAUAUUGGACAAUGGGCGAGAGCCUGAUCCAGCCAUGCCGCGUGCAGGAAGACUGCCCUAUGGGUUGUAAACUGCUUUUAUACGGGAAGAAACACCCCCACGUGUGGGGGUUUGCCGGUACCGUAUGAAUAAGAAUCGGCUAACUCCGUGCCCGCAGCCGCGGUAAUACGGAGGAUCCAAGCGUUAUCCGGAAUCAUUGGGUUUAAAGGGUCCGUAGGCGGGUACGUCAGUCAGUGGUGAAAGUCUGCAGCUCAACUGUAGAACUGCCAUUGAUACUGCAUACCUUGAGUAAUUAUGAAGUGGUUAGAAUAUGUAGUGUAGCGGUGAAAUGCAUAGAUAUUACAUAGAAUACCGAUUGCGAAGGCAGAUCACUAAUAAUUUACUGACGCUGACGGACGAAAGCGUAGGUAGCGAA
This 417-nucleotide ribosomal RNA is filed under the name uncultured bacterium. RNAcentral describes it as "bacterial SSU rRNA". It matches the Rfam family "Bacterial small subunit ribosomal RNA", at positions 358 to 772 of the family's 1533-position model. The record is from RNAcentral.